GACGAACGCUGGCGGCGUGCUUAACACAUGCAAGUCGAACGGAAAGGCCCUGCUUUUGUGGGGUGCUCGAGUGGCGAACGGGUGAGUAACACGUGAGUAACCUGCCCUUGACUUUGGGAUAACUUCAGGAAACUGGGGCUAAUACCGGAUCGGAGCUCCUGCUGCAUGGUGGGGGUUGGAAAGUUUCGGCGGUUGGGUAUGGACUCGCGGCUUAUCAGCUUGUUGGUGGGGUAGUGGCUUACCAAGGCUUUGACGGGUAGCCGGCCUGAGAGGGUGACCGGCCACAUUGGGACUGAGAUACGGCCCAGACUCCUACGGGAGGCAGCAGUGGGGAAUAUUGCACAAUGGGCGGAAGCCUGAUGCAGCAACGCCGCGUGCGGGAUGACGGCCUUCGGGUUGUAAACCGCUUUCGCCUGUGACGAAGCGUGAGUGACGGUAAUGGGUAAAGAAGCACCGGCUAACUACGUG
This 468-nucleotide ribosomal RNA is filed under the name uncultured bacterium. Its description in RNAcentral is "partial 16S ribosomal RNA". It matches the Rfam family "Bacterial small subunit ribosomal RNA", at positions 28 to 507 of the family's 1533-position model. The record is from RNAcentral.